RNAcentral lists this transfer RNA (74 nucleotides) under subsurface metagenome. RNAcentral's name for it is "tRNA-Val". It matches the Rfam family "tRNA". From Rfam's summary of the family: Transfer RNA (tRNA) molecules are approximately 80 nucleotides in length. Their secondary structure includes four short double-helical elements and three loops (D, anti-codon, and T loops). The record is from RNAcentral.
GGGCCAGUGGUCUAGUGGUUAUGACGUCGCGCUUACAACGCGGAGAUCGCCUGUUCAAUUCCGGCCUGGCCCAC